UGCUACUUUCUAUAGAACUCUAAUUGAGCUCUUGAACGCGUAAGGUAUAGCAAAAAAAUUGAAGCAUGAAAUGACAUAUUUGGCUUCAAGUAAGUGUACUCUUCUAGCAACAAGAUUCACAUAGAUAUGAAAAGAUUAGAGAUUACAUACCUGAUCAUUCCAAUGUGUUACAAUUCCCAUCGUGCACAAGGAAUUCUUUAUGAGCACCACUAGCAUAUAAACACAUACAUUCCCUAGAAGGUUACUAUCGGCACAUAAAUAAGUAUCAAAACAGAACUUUGAAAUCUUGCUGCUUCAAUCAGGAUCGUGCCAGUAUAAAUAAUAUUUAUGCAUCAGAAAUGUUAACCUUGCUUGUUGCCAGUGGCCUUCCAAAGAAUAAUAAAAUUCAUAUGAUUUAUUCCUCUUCAACAGGUUUACAGAUUUUGUUGCUUCAAAAAUAAAAAUAUGAAAGUUAACAUCUUAAAAGAACUAUGAGAUAACAAAUAUUGUAGUAGGAAAAUAAUAUCCCAUCUUAAAGGAACUAUGAGAUAACAAAUAUUAUAGUAGGAAAAAUAUCCAAGCUAAAGCAAAGAAGUUUAAAUGGUUGUGUUUUCAAGAAGCUGUAAAUUGGAGAAUUUGUAUUCGACAGAAUGUAAUAGUACAUAGUACCACAUAAAAUUAGAAGAGCAAAUCAACCUCUGAUUGAGGGAGUUUAGAGCACAGAGCAAAAGUGAAAUCAAUGAACUCUUAAGAAAUAUUCACAUACUAGAUUAUUGACAAUGAAGAUCGAGGGAAGUAGUAUGAUAUAGAACCAGAAAACCAUGAAAGUUAUAUCAGAAACCAGACUAGGAAAAAGCCCUUCUCAAUGCCACUGACACUUGAAGCUAAUCAUCAGUUGGACCAACAAACAAAACCCAAAAAGUAUCCUUCUAAAUUCAUCCCAUCAGAGAAUUUAAUCAGAAACAUGAAAUUACCCAAAAAGAACUCACAAAACCAAACAAAAAAAAAAAAAAAAAACCUCGAAAGGCAUAAUUGAUGAAUUGACCAUACAUAAAAUGGAAAUGUAGGUCGAAGCUCGUGCAAUAAAAGCACAACCAAAAUCACAAACCAAAUUUCAAAAUUACGGAGAUAACUACAAUCAAAUUUGGAAAAACAAAGAGAACAUUCUCUCUCACUCUAAGAACAUAAUUUCUAAAAUAAUCAUACAUAAUAAAAUGAAAAAGGAACCACAAACCAAACACAAAAAGCACAACUUACUUUAAAAAUUUGACCCACAGAAUUCACAUAAACAAAUCUAGUGAAACCCAAGAUUGAUCAUCCAAAGAACAAGACAGACUAAAGAUCCGUCAAUGUUAAUCCAAAUGUACUAAAAAGAAUGUGGUAAUCAUAAAGGCACAGGAACAUACAUAAAAUGAAAAAAUGAACCAUAAAUCAAACAUUAGAAGCACAAAUUACAUUAAAAAUUCAACUCAAGGAAUUCACAUAAACAAAUCCAGUGAAACCCAAAAUUGAUCAUCCAAAGAAAAAGAUAGACUAAAAGAUCCUUCAAUAUUCAUCCAAAUGUACCAAAAAGAAUGUAAUCAUAAAGACACAAGAAUUACAUACAUAAAGAGAAUAUUAUCUUGAUAAGAAACAUAAUUGUUGAAAUAAGCAUGCAUAAAAUAAAAAGAGAACCCAUACCUUAUCAAUUAUCCUUAUUCAAUCCCUACACAAAAAGCACAAAUUCUAUUAAAGAUUCAACAAAGUCCACAAAGAAUUUAGAUAAAUAAAUCUAGCAAACCAAAAAUUGAACCCAGGAAAAUCCUUCAAUGUUCAGGCCAUUGUACCAAAAUAGAAUGUGUAAAGAAAAAAAAAAUUAAAGAAAAAGGAGAACAUUAUACACUCAAAAUACAAUUGCUGAAGUAACCAUACAUAAAAUGAAAAGGGAACCCAAAACUUAUCAAUAUUCAAACCAAACAAAAAUUCCAUCAAUGAAUUCAGCCCAUAUAUAAAUUCACACGAUAAUUGCAAAUACAGUAAAGGACAAAUCCUUCAAGAUCCAUCCAAAUGCACCAAACAACGCAAUUACAAAGACAAAGGAAUUACACAAACAACAAAGAACAAUGUCACUCGAGGUACACUCAAUUGCUGAAAUAGCCAUAAAUUAAAUGAAAUGAAACACCAAACACAUUAAAGAUCCAGCGAAAACUCAAAGAAAUUUCACAGAAAUAAUUAUAGUGUGAUCCAAAAAUGAUCAUCAAUUCAACCGAGAAAAUAUCUUACUAAAUUCAUCCAAAUGAACCAACAAAGAACAUUAUUGCAAAGAAAAUGAAAUUAUAGAAACAAGAGAGAACACAAUUUUUGAAUCCCAAAACUUAGAGAUUCGAUGAAAAUCCUCAGAUAAUACAAAAAACAGAAUCCACUGAAAGUCUGAAACCCAUUUUAUCAUCAUAUAGGUUAAAAAUUUGUCGUGAAAAUAUGACUGACCUAUUUUUUAUCGAGAAUCUUAUUAUUACUUACCUCUUGAUUUCUCUGGAACAGAACUGACAUCCAUCUUCAAGAAUCCUUGUCUAGUUCUUGAUAGAAUAAUCAUGAGGCAACCGUCAAAACUGCAGAAAGAACCAUACAUAAAAUGAAAACCCUCAGAAAAUUCUCCAAAAGAAAUCCAGUGAAGCCCAAAAUGAUCAUCCGUUCGACCAAAGAACAAUGCCCUGAAUUGAAACUAUCCAUCUAGAUUCAUUCCAUGUAUGAAUAAAGAAAUAUAAUCAUAUAGCCAAAGAAAUUAUAGAAAUUGUCGUACAAAGUGACUCUCUGUUUUUUUAUUAAUUUUCUAAUUCUUCCAUCUUCAAAAAUACUUGCCCAGUUCCUCUUGAGAGAGAAACCCCAAAA
RNAcentral lists this long non-coding RNA (2847 nucleotides) under Olea europaea (common olive). RNAcentral's name for it is "long non-coding RNA (OEUR_LNC014168)". Lineage: Eukaryota; Viridiplantae; Streptophyta; Magnoliopsida; Lamiales; Oleaceae. The record is from RNAcentral.